RNAcentral lists this long non-coding RNA (421 nucleotides) under Mytilus galloprovincialis (Mediterranean mussel). Lineage: Eukaryota; Metazoa; Mollusca; Bivalvia; Mytilida; Mytilidae. The record is from RNAcentral.
AAUUUCUAUUUAAAGUACAAUUUUCUUAUGAAUGCUAUUAAACAAAUAAAUUAAGAACAAGAGGUUACCCCAUGACCUAUAAGAAGUUGUAAAUAAAUUAAAGAAAGAAAACUAACAGAUAACAUCAGCUAAUCUUAAAUGAUGAAAAAAAAAAAAAAAUAUCGGUCACAAUCACUGAUUGGAUCUAAAUCUUGCCCUUUUUGACCAUUUACUUUAAUCCAUUUUGAUGAAGAUAUAUAAAAGAUUUGCUCUAGAUUGAAGGCAUCACUAUCUCUUUGGCAUAUCAUAUACUUAUGAAUGUAAUAAUAAAACAACAUCAAAUAGAUAGUAGUCUCUAUUGUAAUGGGUUACAGGGUUGAAUGUAAAAUAUAUAUUAUUUGAUAGUUGCACAUGUUUGCUGUUUGUUUAGUUUUGCCUGCAC